AUAGAAUGAAGCAAUCAUAUCCUUUGGUAUUUCCAGAAAGAAGUUGAAAACUUAUGUUCACAGAAACAUCUGCCUACAGAUUCAUUGAAGAUUUAUCCAUAUUUGCUAACUAUUAUAUGCUUGUAUCUGAAAUGUCCAUAACAGAAUCAUGUGUCUGAACAUAUGUGCCCCAUUUGGUGGCGCUGGUGGAUGUGGAAACAGCUCUUAGCUCUUGUUAAGAAAACACUGACUUCACUUUUUGCCCACAAGGUAACUGAAGCAGGAAGAAAGCCUGACAUCUCAAACCUUCAUUUAUGUCUGUAAUUGGCCUGAAGGUACAGAGGUCAAUUUCCUGACGACAGGGAGAACAGUCUCUAAGUACUCUCCUGUCCCAUAUUGGCCUCUUCCUCAUCAUGUCUGUCCUCCCACAUGAGCAAGAUCCUACUCUGGUCAGCAAUACGGUUCAGUGAACCCUUACACAUGAUCUCACAAUGUGAACUGGAUUCCUGGGACCCACACAAUGUCAAAGGAGAAAUGACAGUGCCCAGAAGGUGGUGCAGCCAAAUCUGAUGUGAAGAACAGAAGUCAUAAAAGCCCGCACAGCUGCUCGACAAAUACCCAGCAAAGCUGAGUCAUAUGAUCACCAUUGUGACCACCUUUCACUUUCAGUUUUGAUCUUCCCAUGUUGCAUGCUUGGAAGGCUAUCAACAUUUGCACAACUUGGAGAUAUUGGAUUGAUGGAAAAUUUCUUAUGAAUCAUUUAUGCCUUCCCCCAGGAGUACUGCUUCUAAAGUUCCUCAGGAUAGUCCUGAGCAUACUAUCCCUCCCAUGUUUAAGGGAGUUAUCCUUAUCUUGUUGACAGUCUUUCUUGGGCCCUGGAGGGCAUGAGAAACAUAAAGAUGCCAAAGAUCUCUCAUUUAUUUGGCUCUGAGAUAUUCUUGAAACAUCUGCCUUUGUAUUUACUCAGGAACAAGAAAAUCAGGACAAAUUAAACUUAAAAAGGGCAACAAGAUAUAGUGGACUAGAGGAGUUGGCAGCAGAUCAGAUUGCAAGUCUCUUUCUACUAUACACGCAGGUGAUUAUGUUACAUAUACAGCAACAAAGUUAGAUUAGCUGGUAAUCUAACUUGGUAUUAGGGUAGUUACCUCUGCCCUACAUAGAGGCUUACAUUGAUGGGCAAAAAAUGGUGUGGAAAAAUGACAAAAGAAUGAGAUAUUAGGACAUCCCUUUUUAGAAAACUUGAUGUCAUAUGACUAAGGAACAAAAGAAUGCUAGGAUUAAACAUAUGAAUAGUUUCUAUAAAGAUAUAAAGUAUAAAUAUAGUAUUAUGCCAGAAAUUGAAUUACAACUGCAGAAGCUUUGGCCUGAGGAUGUUUUUUUGGGCCUUUUACCAACUGGCACUCUGAACACUAAGAGUUAAUAAUAAUGUGGGCCACUAGCAGUGAAACCAGGACUUAGUCCUACUGCUUGUACUGGCUUUUUGGAACCUACUCUUUCGAAGGAUAUCUUGCUCAGCCUAGAUGUAGUGGGGAGGGCCUUGGUCCUGCCUCAAAGCAAUGUCCUAGACUUUAUUGACUCUGCAUGGGAAGUCUUGCCCUCACUGACUGAACUGGGAGUGGGAUAGGGGGAAAGGAGCGGGAGGAAGGGGGGGGAGUGGGAACUGGGAUUGGUAUGUAAAAUGAGAAAAGAUAGUUUAAAAAGUUAAUAAUAUAUUACUUGGGACAUGGAAGUCUGCCCAGGCUGACUUGGAGUAUUUCUUUCUGCCUGGAGUCCUUGAAGCUAUAAGAGUUGUCUAGAAAUUGGGUUAUAGGGUUGGUGAGAAAAGAAUUACUGUAAAAGAUAACUCUGUCCUGUCAUGGUUUAUCAAAGAUGACUAAAAGAAAUGCAAGAAGAAGCUAAACAUGUGUCAGAGGACAGAAAUGAUAUGAUCUAUGUUUUAGAACAACAUAAAUCUAUUUCCUCCUUACUAAGUUCUGUGUAAAUAAAGAAGCACUCUGACUGCCAGUCACUUAGGUUACAAGAUUCUCCUGACAACCAUGCCUGCCUCACUUCUUCCCUCACCUACUUCUUGCCUCCUCUCUGGAACCUGUCAACUGCCAGGUCUACCCCUCAGCAAGAAAGAUCAGAAAGUAGUGUUUUCCCUUCCAUCACGAGUUAUUUUCCUCGCCUUUCAGUGACUCAUCUUGUUUGUACAGCAUGCUAAGGUCUAAAGAGUGGCACAUAUGUCACCUCCCUUCAAUUCAGAAUGCCUUGUCACUUGUAAAAAGCAAUGUGUUUGUCUGAAAAGAAAAUGCAGCUACUGGCUCCAGGAUGUAAAGGUCUUAGCUCUAACUAAACCUUUCAAGGAAACAAUAACUUCUAUGCUUGAAGAGGAAAACUGCUCAGUGAGAAGUUUUCCUACUUGGAAAAAGUCUUUCACAUCACUAACUCUUGCAGAUGGAAGUUGGAGACAAUAAAGUUUGUUUUUUACAGGG
Molecule: non-coding RNA, 2453 nt
Organism: Myodes glareolus (Bank vole)
Lineage: Eukaryota; Metazoa; Chordata; Mammalia; Rodentia; Cricetidae
Source: RefSeq, a predicted model, not a curated record